This 435-nucleotide ribosomal RNA is filed under the name Triticum aestivum (bread wheat). Its description in RNAcentral is "partial small subunit ribosomal RNA". Lineage: Eukaryota; Viridiplantae; Streptophyta; Magnoliopsida; Poales; Poaceae. The record is from RNAcentral.
AUGUCGCCCCUGUGCGGCGACUGGGGGGGAACCCUAGCGCCGCCGCGUCCUCGUCCCUCCCCCGACCUCUCCUCCUCGCCGCCGCCGGGCAAAGCCCGGUCGGCGGCGGCGGCGGCGGGAUCUCUUCUCCCAUGGCUCGCUAGAUCUGGCGCGGGCGGAUCGCAGCGGUGGUUGGCGGCGCGGGCUUGGGGGCGAUGGCAGUUUCCCAUGGUGUGCGUGGGAGUCCGCUCAGGGCGCGCGGCGAUGGCCCUCGGCAAGCGGUGGCGGGCGCUGGGCUCUCGGCGGCGCUCCGGCGUGUGCAGGCGGCGGUGGUCCCUGUGCACGGUCGGCGGCUCCGUCUCUGACCCGGACGGCGCGGGGGAUGGCGGCGGCCCGGCGUGGCCGGCGAUCUGGAUGCGGUGGUGCCGGCAGCUCGCUGAUCUGCCGGUGCUCUAG